UGAGACCUGAGUAACUCUCAUUAAAGUGUAAGAACCCAUGACACAAUCUUCAGCUCAUUGCCUCCUAAUAGCAUAACGGUAGUUCAAACCUUAGCCUGUCUCCCUCAAUAUGACGCUGUACAUCUUUUCAGAAAAAUGGAGAGGUAUUCCACUCUAGAUUGCUCCUAUAACAGUGGUUCUCAAUGGGGAAGAGAGGGGGAUUUGGGCUCCCAGCAGACAUUAGGCAAUGUCUGAAGAUAUUUUUGAUUGUCAUAACUAUGAGGGGGUGGGGGAGGAUGUUAGCAGCAUGGAAUUGGUUGUUAAACUCCCUACGAUGUCCGGAACAGCCUUCAAACCAAAGAAUUAUCCAUCCCAAAGUAGCCAGUUGUUCAAGAUGUACUAGCUCAUUUAUGACCCCAGCCUGUGUGGUUUGACAGGAAUGACUCCACCUACAGUCCAUCCAAGGUGGACAAAACCCAGCAGAGAAUGCAACCAACACAGGGAACACAGACAAAGAAGAAGAGAAGGAAGACCAAGCCUCACAUCAUCGUUGGAGCCCUGGAUUCAGCAAUGACCCAGGCUGGUUCUCACUCCUGGACAGUUCAACUUCCU
This 591-nucleotide long non-coding RNA is filed under the name Callithrix jacchus (white-tufted-ear marmoset). RNAcentral's name for it is "lncRNA (ENSCJAG00000085225.1)". Lineage: Eukaryota; Metazoa; Chordata; Mammalia; Primates; Cebidae. The record is from RNAcentral.